Long non-coding RNA from Hypanus sabinus (Atlantic stingray), 1048 nucleotides. RefSeq lists it as uncharacterized. The transcript is spliced from 3 exons. The record is from RefSeq and is a predicted model, not a curated record. Lineage: Eukaryota; Metazoa; Chordata; Chondrichthyes; Myliobatiformes; Dasyatidae.
GACGUGUACAAGAACGAGGUAGAUCAGCUAAUUGAGUGGUGUCACAGCAACAACCUUGCACUUAGUGUUGGUAAUCCGAAGAAUUGAUUGUGAACUUCAGGAAGGGUCCACUUCAGGAUAAAAGAGGAUUUAUGCAUGGAUCCAGAAGAAGUAUAUGAGCUCCUUAAAGAUCACUUCACAUCAGUCUUCACCAAGAAGGAGGUGGAUGAUGGUGAGGAUAAGGAGAGGAGUUGCCUGAUGCUGGUGGCCGGAGGUGGGGACGCCGUAGGCGGUGAGUGAGGAAGCGGAAGCGAGGCGAGCGGGCAGGAGUCCGUGCCAGGAAAAAAGGGAAGCCCUAGCCGGCUGGCUCGACCAUCCAUUCUGCUCUUCAAUGGACAUUAAAUUGGACUACAUCUGUGGCAACGAAAUACUCAGCGGGAGUACAGACACAGACGGAAUCCCAGACACCAUCAUUCUGUGGUUUAUUUAUGUAACAGAUUUUCCCCCAAACCAUCGGACUACCAACCUACUGCCCUCCGCUGUGCCUAUUAUCUUGUUUAUUAUUUAUUGUAAUGCCUGCACUGUUCUGUGUACUUUAUGCAGUCCUGGGUAAGUCUGAAGUCUAGUGUAGUUUUUGUGUUGGUUUACGUAGUUCAGUGUAGUUUUUGUAUUGUUCAUGUAGCCCCAUGGUCCUGAAAAACAUUGUUUCAUUUUUACUGUGUACUGUACCAGCAGUUAUGGUCGAAAUGACAAUAAAAUGUGACUUGACUUGACUUGACAGCCCACUUGGACCCAUGUGACCAAUUAAUCUACUGACCUAAGGCCUUUGGAAUGUGGGAUGAAACCAGAGUAUGCAGAGGAAACCCACACGGUCAUGGGAAGAAUGUACAGACUCCUUACAGGCAGCACAAAAUGGAAUUCUGCCCGGGGAAUAAUGUGCCUCAGGAAUCUUCUAGACUGCCUUCAUGCUCAUCUUUGUGUCUGUCUGAUUGCAAUCUGUUGGCCAAUAGGAUCACCAUCUGAAAUAUGCUCUGCACAAAACAAUCAGCCUCCUGAUGAUAUUAGCUGU